UUUGUUGAGGGAAGAUGCCUUUUCGCCGACCUUGUGGUUCUAGAUUUGACAGAUUUUGACGUCAUUCUAGGGAUGGACUGGUUAUCUACCCAUGGUGCUACCUUGGACUGCAGGGACAAGGUAGUCAGGUUCAGAGGUCAGGAUGGGUCAGAGGUUGUCUUCAAGGGAGACAGGAGGGGUACACCUAGAGGUCUGAUAUCAGCUCUUCAGGCU
Molecule: long non-coding RNA, 213 nt
Filed under: Manihot esculenta (cassava)
Lineage: Eukaryota; Viridiplantae; Streptophyta; Magnoliopsida; Malpighiales; Euphorbiaceae
Description: long non-coding RNA (MESC_LNC009711)
Source: RNAcentral